Molecule: long non-coding RNA, 1747 nt
Organism: Magallana angulata
Lineage: Eukaryota; Metazoa; Mollusca; Bivalvia; Ostreida; Ostreidae
Exons: 3
Source: RefSeq, a predicted model, not a curated record
CGAAGAGAUUGGGUUUCUACAGCAGACAGCGGUUUUAAUGGGAUAAAAACGCUUUUUACCGAGUUUAUUAGGAAUAUUUGAGUGUAAACGUGUUUUUUGACAACAUUUGCAAGAUUGUGUGGGGGGAUUUGCGUAACUUUUGUCAAAGUGUAGAGCGGAUACGAUGCCCCUGUGGAAGAACUGCAUAACAAUGAAAUCCCGACAUCCUUUUCGGCAGUUAUUGAUUUAAAGAAGAUUUCAGAUGAACCCAUAACGAAGAAUGAUUUAGAGUGUGAAAAAAGUCAAAUUAAGGAUACUAAAAUGAACAUGUGCCUGGAUAUUCACUGCGAAGCGGAAUAAAUGUAUCACAACCUAUCUUGCAGUCUUGUCCACCGAAUGGUUAACGAAAACAAUUACGAAAUGAAUCUUAUUAUAUCUCCCGUUGAUGAAAAAGAUUUACCUCCAAUUGAUAUCUAAUUAAUAAGUAUUGAAGAGUCAUUGACAGACAUUAUUAGGCACAGCAAUUUGGAUCGUUUUGUAUGUAGGAUUUUCAUAUUUGAUUCCAUCUGAAUCAGAUAAGUUUUACAUAGCAGUCGUGAUCGAACCUUCUUUUGACUACCUUCACAAUAUUGAUCAAAUGAUCGAGCAUUUACUAGAAAUAUUCAGCAGCUACCAUCUGUUUGAAAUUCCAAUUUGGUACCAUUUGAAAAUAAUAUAAAUGUGUCAUUAACACCUGUAGGACAAAGCUUUCAUAGUUAUGGUAGCAAGUUAUUUGAAAAACAUUGCGAUAAUCGUUUUUUUGUUAAUCCAAUGGAUGGGAAAGAGAUGAAGUUAUAUCAAUGUAUCAGCAUGGUGCCUUACAGACAUGAUCAACAGCACCCGUAUUGUUCAAGUAGCCAUAUGAUGGCUAUAGUAGCUGACUGGUACCGUUGUCCCAAAGUGAAAAUAAAUUCAGCAGAUGCAAGACUUCAUGUAUCAAAUUUUUCGGUAUGUCUUGUGGAUUAUCAAACGUGCAUAGCCUCAGACUAUUUCAAAGAGUCCUUAGACAAACACAGUGUUUUGAUAUGCUUAGAACAGUAUUUAUAAGGCUACUAAAGUUAUCAAAAGCAAUCUACCUGCAUCUGAUGAUAACUUGAUGGCGUCUUUUUCCCUAGUUUGUUUUUCUUUUUCGUCCUUCGGUUCAUUAUCAUCAAUCUUUACUUUUCUUGCAAGUAAAUCGUGCAGUCGAAGUGCUGAUGUCAAUAUCAUAGUUCUGGCAGUGUUUCUUUUUUUGGCAAGUACAGCUCGCGUUGUAUCUCGAUCAGCUUUUUGUCUUGAGUCAAACCAUGUGUAUUUCGGUUGGUAUGUUAGUACAUGUUUGCUGGCUUUCUGUUGUUUGCUGGAUAAGUUUAUCUUUUUUUAAAUGUUUCAUUCAUUUAAGUCUUUCUGCAUAAUGAAAUUGAAAGUCAUCUCCAGGGUUUUAUAUCGAUUGAUAGUGAAUUUGAUUAUAUGUUCAUCAUUGGUAGCUAUCAACGUAACCUUAAGUUAUGUAACAAGUAAUGGAGACAACCUGGGCUAUUCUAUUCACACCUGCUAUAUCACUAACUCCGAUAUGAUUCUGUAAACUUUUGCUCUGCCUGUGGGAUUGUUGAUAAGUUUUAAUAUGUUAAUGUUUGCGGCCAUGGUGUGUAGAAUUCCUAAAAGGGUAGAAAUUCAAGUGUGGAAUGAUGAUAAAAAAAUUGAAACAUAUUUCCGGCUUUCUAAUAUUAUUGGCGCAACAUGGAUGUUU